AGUGAACGCUGGCGGUAGGCCUAACACAUGCAAGUCGAACGGCAGCACAGUAAGAGCUUGCUCUUACGGGUGGCGAGUGGCGGACGGGUGAGGAAUACAUCGGAAUCUACUUUUUCGUGGGGGAUAACGUAGGGAAACUUACGCUAAUACCGCAUACGACCUACGGGUGAAAGCAGGGGAUCUUCGGACCUUGCGCGAUUGAAUGAGCCGAUGUCGGAUUAGCUAGUUGGCGGGGUAAAGGCCCACCAAGGCGACGAUCCGUAGCUGGUCUGAGAGGAUGAUCAGCGACACUGGAACUGAGACACGGUCCAGACUCCUACGGGAGGCAGCAGUGGGCAAUAUUGGACAAUGGGCGCAAGCCUUAUCCAGCCAUACCGCGUGGGUGAAGAAGGCCUUCGGGUUGUAAAGCCCUUUUGUUGGGAAAGAAAAGCAGCAGGUUAAUACCCCGCUGUUCUGACGGUACCCAAAGAAUAAGCACCGGCUAACUUCGUG
This 492-nucleotide ribosomal RNA is filed under the name uncultured bacterium. RNAcentral describes it as "partial 16S ribosomal RNA". It matches the Rfam family "Bacterial small subunit ribosomal RNA", at positions 29 to 507 of the family's 1533-position model. The record is from RNAcentral.